RNAcentral lists this ribosomal RNA (492 nucleotides) under uncultured bacterium. Its description in RNAcentral is "partial 16S ribosomal RNA". It matches the Rfam family "Bacterial small subunit ribosomal RNA", at positions 29 to 507 of the family's 1533-position model. The record is from RNAcentral.
AGUGAACGCUGGCGGUAGGCCUAACACAUGCAAGUCGAACGGCAGCACAGUAAGAGCUUGCUCUUACGGGUGGCGAGUGGCGGACGGGUGAGGAAUACAUCGGAAUCUACUUUUUCGUGGGGGAUAACGUAGGGAAACUUACGCUAAUACCGCAUACGACCUACGGGUGAAAGCAGGGGAUCUUCGGACCUUGCGCGAUUGAAUGAGCCGAUGUCGGAUUAGCUAGUUGGCGGGGUAAAGGCCCACCAAGGCGACGAUCCGUAGCUGGUCUGAGAGGAUGAUCAGCCACACUGGAACUGAGACACGGUCCAGACUCCUACGGGAGGCAGCAGUGGGGAAUAUUGGACAAUGGGCGAAAGCCUGAUCCAGCCAUACCGCGUGGGUGAAGAAGGCCUUCGGGUUGUAAAGCCCUUUUGUUGGGAAAGAAAAGCAGCAGGUGAAUACCCCGCUGUUCUGACGGUACCCAAAGAAUAAGCACCGGCUAACUUCGUG